Molecule: ribosomal RNA, 533 nt
Filed under: uncultured Nitrospirota bacterium
Lineage: Bacteria; Pseudomonadati; Nitrospirota
Description: bacterial SSU rRNA
Rfam family: Bacterial small subunit ribosomal RNA
Source: RNAcentral
UACGGGAGGCAGCAGUAAGGAAUAUUGCGCAAUGGGCGACAGCCUGACGCAGCGACGCCGCGUGGGGGAUGAAGGUCUUCGGAUUGUAAACCCCUUUCGGCAGGGAAGAUGGAACGGGAAACCGUUCGGACGGUACCUGCAGAAGCAGCCACGGCUAACUUCGUGCCAGCAGCCGCGGUAAUACGAAGGUGGCAAGCGUUGUUCGGAUUUACUGGGCGUACAGGGAGCGUAGGCGGUUGGGUAAGCCCUCCGUGAAAUCUCCGGGCCUAACCCGGAAAGUGCGGAGGGGACUGCUCGGCUAGAGGAUGGGAGAGGAGCGCGGAAUUCCCGGUGUAGCGGUGAAAUGCGUAGAGAUCGGGAGGAAGGCCGGUGGCGAAGGCGGCGCUCUGGAACAUUUCUGACGGUGAGGCUCGAAAGCGUGGGGAGCAAACAGGAUUAGAUACCCUGGUAGUCCACGCCUUAAACGAUGGAUACUAAGUGUCGGCGGGUUACCGCCGGUGCCGCAGCUAACGCAGUAAGUAUCCCGCCUGGAG